This 467-nucleotide ribosomal RNA is filed under the name uncultured bacterium. RNAcentral describes it as "partial 16S ribosomal RNA". It matches the Rfam family "Bacterial small subunit ribosomal RNA", at positions 28 to 507 of the family's 1533-position model. The record is from RNAcentral.
GACGAACGCUGGCGGCGUGCUUAACACAUGCAAGUCGAACGGAAAGGCUCCAGCUUGCUGGAGUACUCGAGUGGCGAACGGGUGAGUAACACGUGGGUAAUCUGCCCUGCACUCUGGGAUAAGCCUGGGAAACUGGGUCUAAUACUGGAUAUGACCUUUCUCCUUAUGGGGUUUGGUGGAAAGUUUUUCGGUGUAGGAUGAGCCCGCGGCCUAUCAGCUUGUUGGUGGGGUGAUGGCCUACCAAGGCGACGACGGGUAGCCGGCCUGAGAGGGUGAUCGGCCACAUUGGGACUGAGAUACGGCCCAGACUCCUACGGGAGGCAGCAGUGGGGAAUAUUGCACAAUGGGCGGAAGCCUGAUGCAGCGACGCCGCGUUAGGGAUGACGGCCUUCGGGUUGUAAACCUCUUUCAGCAGGGACGAAGCGUAAGUGACGGUACCUGCAGAAGAAGCACCGGCUAACUAUGUG